This is a non-coding RNA of Pelobates cultripes (western spadefoot toad), 369 nucleotides long. The record is from the annotation of a GenBank genome assembly. NCBI's taxonomy places the organism in Eukaryota, Metazoa, Chordata, Amphibia, Anura, Pelobatidae.
GGAAGGGUUAAUAAACAGGACAUUCCAUGCUGGUAUUGGAAGGGUUAAUAAACAGGACAUUCCAUGCUGGUAUAGGAAGGGUCAGUAAACAGGACAUUCCAUGCUGGUAUAGGAAGGGUCAAUAAACAGGACAUUCCAUGCUGGUAUAGGAAGGGUCAGUAAACAGGACAUUCCGUGCUGGUAUAGGAAGGGUUAAUAAACAGGACAUUCCAUGCUGGUAUAUAGGUUAUUUUCAAUGAGCAGCUCAUGUAGCAUUGGGUCCUUAAUAAAGUAUAUUAUAUUUUAACCCUGCAGGUGUCAGACAUUCCGCCAUGCCACACAUACCCCCAACAUUUCAUAUGGACAUUGAGGUAAUCAUUUAGGGAUGGG